GAGACGCUGGUAAAAUAGACAAUCACACUGCUUUGUCAGGGCAGAGUUGCGGGUUUAACCCCCGCGCGUCUUA
This 73-nucleotide transfer RNA is filed under the name Dentex dentex (common dentex). RNAcentral's name for it is "tRNA-Asp". It matches the Rfam family "tRNA". From Rfam's summary of the family: Transfer RNA (tRNA) molecules are approximately 80 nucleotides in length. Their secondary structure includes four short double-helical elements and three loops (D, anti-codon, and T loops). Further hydrogen bonds mediate the characteristic L-shaped molecular structure. tRNAs have two regions of fundamental functional importance: the anti-codon, which is responsible for specific mRNA codon recognition, and the 3' end, to which the tRNAs corresponding amino acid is attached (by aminoacyl-tRNA synthetases). tRNAs cope with the degeneracy of the genetic code in two manners: having more than one tRNA (with a specific anti-codon) for a particular amino acid; and 'wobble' base-pairing, i.e. permitting non-standard base-pairing at the 3rd anti-codon position. Lineage: Eukaryota; Metazoa; Chordata; Actinopteri; Spariformes; Sparidae. The record is from RNAcentral.